CAAAUGAAUUGACGGGGGCCCGCACAAGCGGUGGAGCAUGUGGUUUAAUUCGAUGAUACGCGAGGAACCUUACCUGGGCUCAAAUGUAUGUUGACGUAUUCUGAAAGGGAUACUUCUUCGGACAAUAUACAAGGUGCUGCAUGGUUGUCGUCAGCUCGUGCCGUGAGGUGUCGGGUUAAGUCCCAUAACGAGCGCAACCCCUAUCAUUAGUUGCCAUCAGGUCAAGCUGGGGACUCUAAUGAAACUGCCUACGCAAGUAGUGAGGAAGGUGGGGAUGACGUCAAAUCAGCACGGCCCUUACGUCCAGGGCUACACACGUGCUACAAUGGCCGGUACAAAGGGCAGCUACCUGGUGACAGGAUGCUAAUCUCAAAAGCCGGUCCCAGUACGGAUUGGAGUCUGCAACCCGACUCCAUGAAGUUGGAAUCGCUAGUAAUCGCGCAUCAGCAUGGCGCGGUGAAUACGUUCCCGGGCCUU
This 477-nucleotide ribosomal RNA is filed under the name uncultured Sphingobacteriales bacterium. Its description in RNAcentral is "bacterial SSU rRNA". It matches the Rfam family "Bacterial small subunit ribosomal RNA", at positions 902 to 1382 of the family's 1533-position model. The record is from RNAcentral. Lineage: Bacteria; Pseudomonadati; Bacteroidota; Sphingobacteriia; Sphingobacteriales.